CGCCUCCGCAGCCCGCGGAGCGGGCCGGGCCGUGCUUGCCGGCUCAGUGCCCGGGAACCCGGGUUCCGACCCCGCGGAAGCGGCC
Molecule: transfer RNA, 85 nt
Filed under: Actinoplanes teichomyceticus
Lineage: Bacteria; Bacillati; Actinomycetota; Actinomycetes; Micromonosporales; Micromonosporaceae
Description: tRNA-Lys
Source: RNAcentral